Molecule: long non-coding RNA, 351 nt
Organism: Coffea eugenioides
Lineage: Eukaryota; Viridiplantae; Streptophyta; Magnoliopsida; Gentianales; Rubiaceae
Exons: 3
Source: RefSeq, a predicted model, not a curated record
AGGCAUUAAUGUGGGCAUGCAAUCCUUCAUUAAUCCAAAGUCAUGUACAAAACACUAGCUUGUUAGGAGAUGAAAAGUAUUCAGUGAAUGAACCAGAUUUCAGCCAAGACCAUUAAGGAAUUUUAUUCUUGAGAGAGUACAAAUGUUUUUGCACGUCUUUGCUCAAAGCUUUUAGGAUGAUUUAAGUUUCUUCGAAGCUUGCUUGGAAAAAAGUUUGGUGAUCAAAUUUCAGAUAUUGUUAGCAUCCAAGUGCUCUUGGGUUUGUAAACCAGAAAUGUCAAUCCAAACUGAAGCUUUUGAUAGUGAUAUCAGAGCCCUUGAUGCUGGUGAUCAAAUUCUCAAAUCAAGUUA